This 526-nucleotide ribosomal RNA is filed under the name uncultured bacterium. RNAcentral's name for it is "bacterial SSU rRNA". It matches the Rfam family "Bacterial small subunit ribosomal RNA", at positions 984 to 1509 of the family's 1533-position model. The record is from RNAcentral.
ACAUCCAGAGAACUUAGCAGAGAUGCUUUGGUGCCUUCGGGAACUCUGAGACAGGUGCUGCAUGGCUGUCGUCAGCUCGUGUUGUGAAAUGUUGGGUUAAGUCCCGNAACGAGCGCAACCCUUUAUCCUUUGUUGCCAGCGAUUCGGUCGGGAACUCAAAGGAGACUGCCGGUGAUAAACCGGAGGAAGGUGGGGAUGACGUCAAGUCAUCAUGGCCCUUACGGCCAGGGCUACACACGUGCUACAAUGGCGCAUACAAAGAGAAGCGACCUCGCGAGAGCAAGCGGACCUCAUAAAGUGCGUCGUAGUCCGGAUUGGAGUCUGCAACUCGACUCCAUGAAGUCGGAAUCGCUAGUAAUCGUAGAUCAGAAUGCUACGGUGAAUACGUUCCCGGGCCUUGUACACACCGCCCGUCACACCAUGGGAGUGGGUUGCAAAAGAAGUAGGUAGCUUAACCUUCGGGAGGGCGCUUACCACUUUGUGAUUCAUGACUGGGGUGAAGUCGUAACAAGGUAGGCGUAGACGU